Molecule: non-coding RNA, 129 nt
Filed under: chicken gut metagenome
Description: FMN riboswitch (RFN element)
Rfam family: FMN riboswitch aptamer (RFN element)
About the family: The RFN element is a highly conserved domain that is found frequently in the 5'-untranslated regions of prokaryotic mRNAs that encode for flavin mononucleotide (FMN) biosynthesis and transport proteins. This element is a metabolite-dependent riboswitch that directly binds FMN in the absence of proteins. In Bacillus subtilis, the riboswitch most likely controls gene expression by causing premature transcription termination within the 5' untranslated region of the ribDEAHT operon and precluding access to the ribosome-binding site of ypaA mRNA.
Source: RNAcentral
UGUCUUCGGGGCAGGGUGAAAGUCCCUACCGGCAGUGACAGGCCAUGGGCCUGGUAGUCUGCGACCCGCGUAAGCGGCUGAUCCGGUGCAAUUCCGGAACCGACAGUACAGUCUGGAUGGUAGAAGGCG